Long non-coding RNA from Diabrotica virgifera virgifera (western corn rootworm), 705 nucleotides. RefSeq lists it as uncharacterized. Lineage: Eukaryota; Metazoa; Arthropoda; Insecta; Coleoptera; Chrysomelidae. The record is from RefSeq and is a predicted model, not a curated record. The transcript is spliced from 2 exons.
CAUUUAUUUGUAAUUUGUAGAUGUUUUUAGACAAAUAUUCUGUUUGGUUUUGUUUUUGAUUGUUAAUUGUGCAGCGAAAUUGUGAUAGUAAAUUAAAUAUAAAGUUGUUUAUCGCCUACAGAACUGAAUUAUCCCAUAGUAAUUAUCAGUUUGUGUCAAUUUGUUUAAAAAAGAAAAAACACCUUUCCUUGUGUUUGACCGACUUGUAGCAAGGGCUUUCUUGUGAAUCCUGUAAAUUGCGGGAAUAGGACAGACAGGGAUAAAAUCCUCACUUUUUACUGUUCCCAAGGCUAUACAUUUCCCACAUGCAAUACAUUUAAAUGAAUUUUAUCCAAACAAAGGCAGGAACAUUGGAUAAAAGCAAUAAGGAGAACAGACCUCAAAUUAAAAUAUGAGAGUAUACAGUAAACAUUUUAUAAGUGGAAUAAACACCAGCUAUUUUAAAUGUAGGAAAAGGAGAAACUGCUGGAACCUAACUUUACACAAAUGUUUUUGACUAUUGAAGAUUUGGAUAAACAACAGAAGUUACUUUGGGCUAUAGCUAUGUGCAGAUUUAUUUCAUUGUGGAUUACUAUGUUUAUUCUUUUUAACUAUACUUCCUACGUUGUUUGUGAGAUUAAUAUUAUUAUUUAAUUGAUUAUAUUAAUAUUUUGUAAUAAUAAUCAAUGCUUUGGUUUAACAAAUAGACAACUUAAAAUAGAAAAA